This 347-nucleotide ribosomal RNA is filed under the name uncultured bacterium. Its description in RNAcentral is "partial 16S ribosomal RNA". It matches the Rfam family "Bacterial small subunit ribosomal RNA", at positions 338 to 682 of the family's 1533-position model. The record is from RNAcentral.
CCUACGGGUGGCAGCAGUGAGGAAUAUUGGUCAAUGGACGAGAGUCUGAACCAGCCAAGUAGCGUGAAGGAUGACUGCCCUAUGGGUUGUAAACUUCUUUUAUAAGGGAAUAAAAUGUGGCACGUGUGGGAUUUUGUAUGUACCAUAUGAAUAAGGAUCGGCUAACUCCGUGCCAGCAGCCGCGGUAAUACGGAGGAUCCGAGCGUUAGCCGGAUUUAUUUGGGUUAAAGGGCGCGGAGGUGGGUUGUUAAGUCCGUGGUGAAAGUUUGCGGCUCAACCGUUAACUUGCCGUGGACACGGGCAGUCUUGAGUACUGUAGAGGUGGGCGGAAUGCGUGGUGUAGCGGU